UACGUAGGGUGCGAGCGUUAAUCGGAAUUAUUGGGCGUAAAGAGCUCGUAGGCGGUUCGGCAAGUCGGAUGUGAAAUCUCCACGCUCAACGUGGAGGGCCAUUCGAAACUGCCGUGACUCGAGUCGGUAGGGGAGUGUGGAAUUCCCGGUGUAGCGGUGAAAUGCGCAGAUAUCGGGAGGAACACCAGAGCGAAGGCGGACUCACUGGCCCGUAACUGACG
This 221-nucleotide ribosomal RNA is filed under the name uncultured bacterium. RNAcentral describes it as "partial 16S ribosomal RNA". It matches the Rfam family "Bacterial small subunit ribosomal RNA", at positions 524 to 745 of the family's 1533-position model. The record is from RNAcentral.